RNAcentral lists this ribosomal RNA (261 nucleotides) under uncultured prokaryote. RNAcentral's name for it is "partial 16S ribosomal RNA". It matches the Rfam family "Bacterial small subunit ribosomal RNA", at positions 524 to 784 of the family's 1533-position model. The record is from RNAcentral.
UACGGAGGAUCCGAGCGUUAUCCGGAUUUAUUGGGUUUAAAGGGUGCGUAGGUGGAUUGGUAAGUCAGUGGUGAAAGUUUGCAGCUUAACUGUAAAAUUGCCGUUGAAACUGCCGGUCUUGAGUGCAAAUGAGGUAGGCGGAAUGCGUCGUGUAGCGGUGAAAUGCAUAGAUAUUACUCAGAACACCGAUUGCGAAGGCAGCUUACUAAUCCAUCAUUGACGCUGAGGCACGAAAGCGUGGGGAUCAAACAGGAUUAGAUA